AAUGAUCAACCCAUACGGUGUGAUGAGUAACAGGGACAGGGGGAGAGGGUGGCGAUUGUUAGCCCAUGGGUCAGCAUCAUGUGAUCGACCCACUGUCUACCUCCUCUCCUGUUCCAACCAGCAACCAGGGAGCCUCAAACAGAAAGAUAGGAGAAGCACUCAACGACCUGGGAGCUGAUGGGUACCGAUAACAUGUGGCCCUGGCUCAUGGCCCUUGGUGGCCUCUCUGCUAUCCUCCAGUUUGUGACCUUUCUCUUUUACCCUGAGGCUCCCCGCUACCUAUACAUCGACAAGGGAGACACUGAGGGCUGCAAAAAAAGCCCUGCACUGGCUGUGGCAGGAAGAUGGAGAUGGAUGAAAUGGGGAAGGAGAGAGCGAGUAUGCGCUCAGUCCAGGGCUAUAUCAUCAAAUCAAAUCAAAUUUAUUUAUAUAGCCCUUCGUACAUCAGCUGAUAUCUCAAAGUGCUGUACAGAAACCAGUCCUCUUCUGGCUGUGCCGGGUGGAGAUUAUAACAGAACAUGGCCAAGAUGUUCAAAUGUUCAUAAAUGACAUUUACAUUUACAUUUAAGUCAUUUAGCAGACGCUUAUGACCAGCAUGGUCCAAUAAUAAUAAGGCAGAACAGUUGAAACUGGAGCAGCAGCACGGCCAGGUGGACACAUAAACUACAUAAACUACUGCAGCAUAAAUACUGGAGGCUGAGACAGGAGGGGUCAGGAGACACUGUGGCCCCAUCCGAGGACACCCCGGACAGGGCCAAACUGGAAGGAUAUAACCCCACCCACUUUGCCAAAGCACAGCCCCCACACCACUAGAGGGAUAUCUUCAACCACCAACUUACCAUCCUGAGACAAGGCCGAGUAUAGCCCACAAAGAUCUCCGGCACAACUCAAGGGGGGGGGGGGGGGGGCGCCAACCCAGACAGGAAGAUCACAUCAGUGACUCAACCCACUCAAGUGACGCACCCCUCCCAAGGAUGGUAUGAAAGAGCCCCAGUAAGCCAGUGACUCAGCCCCUGUAAUAGGGUUUUAGGAGGCAGAGAAUCCCAGUGGAAAGACCGGCCAGGCAGAGACAGCAAGGGCGGUUCGUUGCUCCAGAGCCUUUCCGUUCACCUUCCCACUCCUGGGCCAGACUACACUCAAUCAUAUGACCCACUGAAGAGAUGAUAAUGUGAAUCUUUUAUUUUGACAUCUUAUGCUGGGUUUUGGAAGAAGGAUGUUCCUUGAUUAUCUAGACCUUACAAUAGUCAAACAUAGAAUUACGUUCCAUAACGUACAACAUAACAAUUCACAUAUAACAUAUAUCAGUACACAUCAUAUCAUCCGAUAUGGUGAGCUGAGGCGUGUAUAUGAUGCCUCUGUUGUAUAAAAUAUGAUUUAUGCGUAUGUAGGAGGAUGACCUGUAGAUGGAUGACAUGGGGAAGGAGAGGCAUGCAGGGCUCGAAGGUUAAGACCAUGUGGGACGCUCUGACUUCUCGCUGUGUCAGGUGGCAGCUGCUGGCUCUGGUCAUCCCUUGUGCCGGUAUUCAGUUUUGUGGUAAUAACGCAGUGUCUGUUUUAACCGUAUCUACCUUUACUGCAACUUUACUGCAUUUACCAUUAGUCACAAGUAUGAAUCCAAUGUCAAUACUUUAUUUUUUCCCUGAUUAGGUUAUUCUGUAAAGUGAAGAGCUGCUCCAUUCCCUUCCCUUUUCAUAAUUAAACACCUACAAAUAGGA
Oncorhynchus nerka (sockeye salmon) is the source of this 1715-nucleotide long non-coding RNA. RefSeq lists it as uncharacterized. NCBI's taxonomy places the organism in Eukaryota, Metazoa, Chordata, Actinopteri, Salmoniformes, Salmonidae. The record is from RefSeq and is a predicted model, not a curated record. The transcript is spliced from 3 exons.